AACGAACGCUGGCGGCAGGCCUAACACAUGCAAGUCGAGCGGCAGCACGGGUACUUGUACCUGGUGGCGAGCGGCGGACGGGUGAGUAAUGCCUAGGAAUCUGCCUGGUAGUGGGGGAUAACGCUCGGAAACGGACGCUAAUACCGCAUACGUCCUACGGGAGAAAGCAGGGGACCUUCGGGCCUUGCGCUAUCAGAUGAGCCUAGGUCGGAUCAGCUAGUUGGUGAGGUAAUGGCUCACCUAGGCGACGAUCCGUAACUGGUCUGAGAGGAUGAUCAGUCACACUGGAACUGAGACACGGUCCAGACUCCUACGGGAGGCAGCAGUGGGGAAUAUUGGACAAUGGGCGAAAGCCUGAUCCAGCCAUGCCGCGUGUGUGAAGAAGGUCUUCGGAUUGUAAAGCACUUUAAGUUGGGAGGAAGGGCAGUAAGUUAAUACCUUGCUGUUUUGACGUUACC
Molecule: ribosomal RNA, 458 nt
Filed under: uncultured bacterium
Lineage: Bacteria
Description: bacterial SSU rRNA
Rfam family: Bacterial small subunit ribosomal RNA
Source: RNAcentral